Scylla paramamosain (green mud crab) is the source of this 1670-nucleotide long non-coding RNA. RefSeq lists it as uncharacterized. NCBI's taxonomy places the organism in Eukaryota, Metazoa, Arthropoda, Malacostraca, Decapoda, Portunidae. The record is from RefSeq and is a predicted model, not a curated record. The transcript has 6 exons.
GUCAACCCGAAGUGUUCAGCGAGGUAGGACGCUGUGUGGCUGAGUUAUUGUGUUUGUGGCGUUUAUUGCGUGAUUGCAGAGGUGAUUGGGGCAAGAUGAGGUAUCGCAGGGAGUAGAGAAAUAUCAAUGGGCACGCCUCAACAACAACUACUACUACUACUACUCACUACUACUACUACUACUAUUACUACUGCUGCUGCUAAUAGGAGGAGUACCGACCAUAAAAAUGGCGCCUGUGUUUAGUGCUCACUGUUCACCCCGCCCCGUCCGCCCGUCCCGCUCAAGCCAGCCGUUCUCCGCCUUUCGCCUCCUUAAGAAAGAAGAGGAUUACGGGAACUGUGAUAAGCAUGUUGUAUCUAUCAAGACGCAUCAACAACACAAGAAUACCAGAAGCUAAACACUGUGCCUCGUCCAGUACUGUUUAUUCCACACUAUAUGUGAGUGUGUAAACGAAAGUGAUUCACCUGUAGACUAAUUAGCAAAGGUGACUAAAGUAUUUCUUCUGUCGUAACUCAAGAAACGGCUGGAAAAGAUGAGAUACGAAAGAAAGAAAGAUGUGACUAAGAUUGGAAGAAGGAUGAAAUGAAGGAGGAGGUAAGAAAGUAGAAGAAGAAACGCUAGAGGAAAAGGAAGAAUGUUUGAGAACAAUGCACGAAGGAAGAGGUGAAGAAGAAAGUGAGAAAAUAAAAGUAACUCGAAAGAACAAGGAAGAAUGUGUGAUGAGAAUGGAAAAGGGAAAAAAAAUGGAGGAGCAAGUAAGAAAGAAGAAACACUAGAGAAAAAAGAAGAAUGUGUGAGAACAGUGAACGAAGGGAGAACUGAAGAAGAAAGUGAGAAAAUAAAAGAAACACGAAAGAAGAAGGAAGAAUAUGUAACGAGAAUGGAAAAAACGAAAAAAAAAUGGUGGAAGCAGUAAGAAAAAAGAAUCACUAGAGAGAAAAAGAUGAAUGUGCGACAAGAAUGAAAGAAGGAAGAAGUGAAGGAGCACUCAAGCAAAUAGAAGCAAAAAAUAAAGGAGAAAGAUUAUAAACAUGAAAGCUGGUGACAAGAUUACAAGACAAGGUUGAAUCAUUAAACUAUCAAUACAAUAAAAAAAAACCUCCCUUGAAUAACAACACUAUAAUGACUUCAACUACAAACUCUUAGAGGUAAUGAAAGAAAGAUCAAGUUGUCAGUGCCGAUUCAUCAUGGAAAUCUGGAAGGAGAUUAGACAAAUUUAUUGGUGAAGGUGACAGGUGGAAAUAGUCAAAUAUACUUCAUACAGGGACUGCCACGUAUAGACAUUAUGGCUUCCUGCAACUUCUUUCCUUACAUUUUUACGUUCAUAUGUUCUAAGAGGCUGAAGCUUCAUAAUUCAGGCCCACAAAUGACGUCUUUUUUUUAGUCUACCCUAAUGGAGUUGAUGUGUUUUAGCGAGAGUAUGGGAAAGAGAGGUUGCAUCAAGGCCACAGGGAUUUAAAAUAAUGGAAGAUGGAAGGUGGAUGAAGGCAGGAAAUAGAAUGUUCUUUUUAGACUCUUACAGGUGAUAACUAAAAUUACGAAAACUCCCUUGAUUUCAACACCACAAUGACUUCCACUACAAGCUGCUGGAAGUAAGUGCAAGCAAGAUACCGAAGUGCUUCCUAAUACGGAUCCACAAAUGACUUUUUUUUUCCUUUUUUUUUUUUUUU